CACGGAUUCUAAGACAAACUACUCCUGAACUUCUGAAUAUUGCACUAUAGAUACUGGAUACAGAUAACUUGGUGUAGGUCUCGUCAAAUAAAUGAUCAAAUCAACCAAUAAGACAUUUUAGAAUCAACAGAAUUUAUAUUUCACAAUAAAGGAUCAUAAUUCUCAAAGAACACAUAUGAUGAGUCUAUGCCAGGGUAUAGCAACAGCGCUCCUUCUAAUGGUGGUCAUUACAAUGAAUCCUACAACCGCAACCGUUACAGCCGUCAAUGAUGCAUCAACAACAACUGAUGAACCCAUUAAAAACGUAACUGAUGCAUUGACUACAACUGGUGAACCCACUACAACUGUCAUUGAUGCAUCGCUAGUAACUGGUGAACCCACAACAACCAUCAACGGUGCAUCACCAACUACUGUUAAAGCCACAGCCACUACAACCAUCACCGAGUUAUCAAAAACAACUGGUGAACCAAAUAAAAUGGUCAUUGAUGCAAUGACAAAACUGGUGAACCGCCACAGCCGUCACCGAUUCAACGACAACAACUGGUGAACAUGCUAAAACCACCACUGAGUCAACAAAAACAACUGGUGAACAUACUAAAACCACCACUGAUUCAACGACAACUGGUGAACCCACUAAAACCACUGAGUCAACGACAACAACUGGUGAACCCACUAAAACCACCACUGAGUCA
Oncorhynchus keta (chum salmon) is the source of this 692-nucleotide long non-coding RNA. RefSeq lists it as uncharacterized. The record is from RefSeq and is a predicted model, not a curated record. Lineage: Eukaryota; Metazoa; Chordata; Actinopteri; Salmoniformes; Salmonidae. The transcript has 3 exons.